GACGAACGCUGGCGGCGUGCCUAAUACAUGCAAGUAGAACGCUGAAGGAGGAGCUUGCUUCUCUGGAUGAGUUGCGAACGGGUGAGUAACGCGUAGGUAACCUGCCUGGUAGCGGGGGAUAACUAUUGGAAACGAUAGCUAAUACCGCAUAAUAGUAGAUGUUGCAUGACAUUUGCUUAAAAGGUGCAAUUGCAUCACUACCAGAUGGACCUGCGUUGUAUUAGCUAGUUGGUGGGGUAACGGCUCACCAAGGCGACGAUACAUAGCCGACCUGAGAGGGUGAUCGGCCACACUGGGACUGAGACACGGCCCAGACUCCUACGGGAGGCAGCAGGAGGGAAACUUCGGCAAUGGACGGAAGUCUGACCGAGCAACGCCGCGUGAGUGAAGAAGGUUUUCGGAUCGUAAAGCUCUGUUGUAAGAGAAGAACGAGUGUGAGAGUGGAAAGUUCACACUGUGACGGUAGCUUACCAGAAAGGGACGGCUAACUACGUG
This 495-nucleotide ribosomal RNA is filed under the name uncultured bacterium. Its description in RNAcentral is "partial 16S ribosomal RNA". It matches the Rfam family "Bacterial small subunit ribosomal RNA", at positions 28 to 507 of the family's 1533-position model. The record is from RNAcentral.